This 253-nucleotide ribosomal RNA is filed under the name uncultured bacterium. RNAcentral describes it as "partial 16S ribosomal RNA". It matches the Rfam family "Bacterial small subunit ribosomal RNA", at positions 524 to 776 of the family's 1533-position model. The record is from RNAcentral.
UACGUAGGGGGCUAGCGUUGUCCGGAAUCAUUGGGCGUAAAGAGCGUGUAGGCGGUCCGGUAAGUCCGCUGUGAAAGUCGGGGGCUCAACCCUCGAAUGCCGGUGGAUACUGUCGGGCUAGAGUGCGGAAGAGGCGAGUGGAAUUCCUGGUGUAGCGGUGAAAUGCGCAGAUAUCAGGAGGAACACCUAUUGCGAGGGCAGCUCGCUGGGACGUAACUGACGCUGAGACGCGAAAGCGUGGGGAGCAAACAGG